Molecule: ribosomal RNA, 490 nt
Filed under: uncultured bacterium
Lineage: Bacteria
Description: partial 16S ribosomal RNA
Rfam family: Bacterial small subunit ribosomal RNA
Source: RNAcentral
GAUGAACGCUAGCUACAGGCUUAACACAUGCAAGUCGCGGGGCAGCAUGGGGGUUGCUUGCACUCCCCGAUGGCGACCGGCGCACGGGUGAGUAACGCGUAUCCAACCUGCCCUUCACCACGGGAUAACCCGGCGAAAGUCGGACUAAUACCGUAUGUUGUCCAUUGACGGCAUCCGAUUUGGACGAAAGGUUUGGCGGUGAAGGAUGGGGAUGCGUCCGAUUAGCUGGACGGCGGGGUGACGGCCCACCGUGGCGACGAUCGGUAGGGGUUCUGAGAGGAAGGUCCACCACACUGGAACUGAGACACGGUCCAGACUCCUACGGGAGGCAGCAGUGAGGAAUAUUGGUCAAUGGGCGUAAGCCUGAACCAGCCAAGUAGCGUGCAGGAUGACGGCCCUAUGGGUUGUAAACUGCUUUUAUGCGGGGAUAAAGUGGCCCACGUGUGGGUUUUUGCAGGUACCGCAUGAAUAAGGACCGGCUAAUUCCGUG